CAGGAGGCUGAGGCAGGGGGAGUGGCA
Molecule: non-coding RNA, 27 nt
Filed under: Cricetulus griseus (Chinese hamster)
Lineage: Eukaryota; Metazoa; Chordata; Mammalia; Rodentia; Cricetidae
Source: RNAcentral